RNAcentral lists this ribosomal RNA (373 nucleotides) under uncultured organism. RNAcentral's name for it is "bacterial SSU rRNA". It matches the Rfam family "Bacterial small subunit ribosomal RNA", at positions 526 to 896 of the family's 1533-position model. The record is from RNAcentral.
CGUAGGGUCCGAGCGUUGUCCGGAAUUAUUGGGCGUAAAGGGCUUGUAGGCGGUUUGUCACGUCGGAAGUGAAAACUCAGGGCUUAACCCUGAGCCUGCUUCCGAUACGGGCAAACUAGAGGAAUGCAGGGGAGAAUGGAAUUCCUGGUGGAGCGGUGGAAUGCGCAGAUAUCAGGAGGAACACCGGUGGCGAAGGCGGUUCUCUGGGCAUUUCCUGACGCUGAGAAGCGAAAGCGUGGGGAGCAAACAGGCUUAGAUACCCUGGUAGUCCACGCCGUAAACGGUGGGCACUAGGUGUGGGGAACAUUCCACGUUCUCCGUGCCGAAGCUAACGCAUUAAGUGCCCCGCCUGGGGAGUACGGCCGCAAGGCUA